This 576-nucleotide ribosomal RNA is filed under the name Bacillus amyloliquefaciens. Its description in RNAcentral is "bacterial SSU rRNA". It matches the Rfam family "Bacterial small subunit ribosomal RNA", at positions 49 to 607 of the family's 1533-position model. Lineage: Bacteria; Bacillati; Bacillota; Bacilli; Caryophanales; Bacillaceae. The record is from RNAcentral.
UAAUACAUGCAAGUCGAGCGGACAGAUGGGAGCUUGCUCCCUGAUGUUAGCGGCGGACGGGUGAGUAACACGUGGGUAACCUGCCUGUAAGACUGGGAUAACUCCGGGAAACCGGGGCUAAUACCGGAUGCUUGUUUGAACCGCAUGGUUCAGACAUAAAAGGUGGCUUCGGCUACCACUUACAGAUGGACCCGCGGCGCAUUAGCUAGUUGGUGAGGUAACGGCUCACCAAGGCGACGAUGCGUAGCCGACCUGAGAGGGUGAUCGGCCACACUGGGACUGAGACACGGCCCAGACUCCUACGGGAGGCAGCAGUAGGGAAUCUUCCGCAAUGGACGAAAGUCUGACGGAGCAACGCCGCGUGAGUGAUGAAGGUUUUCGGAUCGUAAAGCUCUGUUGUUAGGGAAGAACAAGUGCCGUUCAAAUAGGGCGGCACCUUGACGGUACCUAACCAGAAAGCCACGGCUAACUACGUGCCAGCAGCCGCGGUAAUACGUAGGUGGCAAGCGUUGUCCGGAAUUAUUGGGCGUAAAGGGCUCGCAGGCGGUUUCUUAAGUCUGAUGUGAAAGCCCCCGG